ACCGCUCAUUUGAACACAAGGCGAACCUACGCCCGUGUAGACAAAGACAACGGCAGGGCGGGUCUGUUCAUCGCCGCCGCCAUGGGAACCUUCGCUCUGAUGGCCGCAGUCUACUGUAUCUACGACAAGUUCUACACCAAACAGCAGUACCUGCACACGCAGCUCAACGACGACUCAGAUGGACGCAGAAAACAAAAAGGAAUCGGACAGUGAGACCUGUCCGUGAUGAAGCUGAAGACCGUCUCCUCAUCAUCAGACACAGAGGGGAGACUUCCAGAGGAGACUGGAGCGCUCAGCAUCUGUCUGCUCACUCGUCUCUCGGGUAUCAUUCGUUGUAAAGCAUCACUGGCAGGCUGGUUUAUUAACAACAUCAGCAGGCUGCAUUGCCUGUUUGCCGUGAUUGUAGAAAUACAACAGCGAAU
Molecule: long non-coding RNA, 422 nt
Organism: Gasterosteus aculeatus aculeatus (three-spined stickleback)
Lineage: Eukaryota; Metazoa; Chordata; Actinopteri; Perciformes; Gasterosteidae
Source: Ensembl